This 2904-nucleotide ribosomal RNA is filed under the name Escherichia coli. RNAcentral's name for it is "23S ribosomal RNA". It matches the Rfam family "Bacterial large subunit ribosomal RNA". RNAcentral also lists the same sequence under 1 other name. Lineage: Bacteria; Pseudomonadati; Pseudomonadota; Gammaproteobacteria; Enterobacterales; Enterobacteriaceae. The record is from RNAcentral.
GGUUAAGCGACUAAGCGUACACGGUGGAUGCCCUGGCAGUCAGAGGCGAUGAAGGACGUGCUAAUCUGCGAUAAGCGUCGGUAAGGUGAUAUGAACCGUUAUAACCGGCGAUUUCCGAAUGGGGAAACCCAGUGUGUUUCGACACACUAUCAUUAACUGAAUCCAUAGGUUAAUGAGGCGAACCGGGGGAACUGAAACAUCUAAGUACCCCGAGGAAAAGAAAUCAACCGAGAUUCCCCCAGUAGCGGCGAGCGAACGGGGAGCAGCCCAGAGCCUGAAUCAGUGUGUGUGUUAGUGGAAGCGUCUGGAAAGGCGCGCGAUACAGGGUGACAGCCCCGUACACAAAAAUGCACAUGCUGUGAGCUCGAUGAGUAGGGCGGGACACGUGGUAUCCUGUCUGAAUAUGGGGGGACCAUCCUCCAAGGCUAAAUACUCCUGACUGACCGAUAGUGAACCAGUACCGUGAGGGAAAGGCGAAAAGAACCCCGGCGAGGGGAGUGAAAAAGAACCUGAAACCGUGUACGUACAAGCAGUGGGAGCACGCUUAGGCGUGUGACUGCGUACCUUUUGUAUAAUGGGUCAGCGACUUAUAUUCUGUAGCAAGGUUAACCGAAUAGGGGAGCCGAAGGGAAACCGAGUCUUAACUGGGCGUUAAGUUGCAGGGUAUAGACCCGAAACCCGGUGAUCUAGCCAUGGGCAGGUUGAAGGUUGGGUAACACUAACUGGAGGACCGAACCGACUAAUGUUGAAAAAUUAGCGGAUGACUUGUGGCUGGGGGUGAAAGGCCAAUCAAACCGGGAGAUAGCUGGUUCUCCCCGAAAGCUAUUUAGGUAGCGCCUCGUGAAUUCAUCUCCGGGGGUAGAGCACUGUUUCGGCAAGGGGGUCAUCCCGACUUACCAACCCGAUGCAAACUGCGAAUACCGGAGAAUGUUAUCACGGGAGACACACGGCGGGUGCUAACGUCCGUCGUGAAGAGGGAAACAACCCAGACCGCCAGCUAAGGUCCCAAAGUCAUGGUUAAGUGGGAAACGAUGUGGGAAGGCCCAGACAGCCAGGAUGUUGGCUUAGAAGCAGCCAUCAUUUAAAGAAAGCGUAAUAGCUCACUGGUCGAGUCGGCCUGCGCGGAAGAUGUAACGGGGCUAAACCAUGCACCGAAGCUGCGGCAGCGACGCUUAUGCGUUGUUGGGUAGGGGAGCGUUCUGUAAGCCUGUGAAGGUGUGCUGUGAGGCAUGCUGGAGGUAUCAGAAGUGCGAAUGCUGACAUAAGUAACGAUAAAGCGGGUGAAAAGCCCGCUCGCCGGAAGACCAAGGGUUCCUGUCCAACGUUAAUCGGGGCAGGGUGAGUCGACCCCUAAGGCGAGGCCGAAAGGCGUAGUCGAUGGGAAACAGGUUAAUAUUCCUGUACUUGGUGUUACUGCGAAGGGGGGACGGAGAAGGCUAUGUUGGCCGGGCGACGGUUGUCCCGGUUUAAGCGUGUAGGCUGGUUUUCCAGGCAAAUCCGGAAAAUCAAGGCUGAGGCGUGAUGACGAGGCACUACGGUGCUGAAGCAACAAAUGCCCUGCUUCCAGGAAAAGCCUCUAAGCAUCAGGUAACAUCAAAUCGUACCCCAAACCGACACAGGUGGUCAGGUAGAGAAUACCAAGGCGCUUGAGAGAACUCGGGUGAAGGAACUAGGCAAAAUGGUGCCGUAACUUCGGGAGAAGGCACGCUGAUAUGUAGGUGAAGUCCCUCGCGGAUGGAGCUGAAAUCAGUCGAAGAUACCAGCUGGCUGCAACUGUUUAUUAAAAACACAGCACUGUGCAAACACGAAAGUGGACGUAUACGGUGUGACGCCUGCCCGGUGCCGGAAGGUUAAUUGAUGGGGUCAGCGCAAGCGAAGCUCUUGAUCGAAGCCCCGGUAAACGGCGGCCGUAACUAUAACGGUCCUAAGGUAGCGAAAUUCCUUGUCGGGUAAGUUCCGACCUGCACGAAUGGCGUAAUGAUGGCCAGGCUGUCUCCACCCGAGACUCAGUGAAAUUGAACUCGCUGUGAAGAUGCAGUGUACCCGCGGCAAGACGGAAAGACCCCGUGAACCUUUACUAUAGCUUGACACUGAACAUUGAGCCUUGAUGUGUAGGAUAGGUGGGAGGCUUAGAAGUGUGGACGCCAGUCUGCAUGGAGCCGACCUUGAAAUACCACCCUUUAAUGUUUGAUGUUCUAACGUUGACCCGUAAUCCGGGUUGCGGACAGUGUCUGGUGGGUAGUUUGACUGGGGCGGUCUCCUCCUAAAGAGUAACGGAGGAGCACGAAGGUUGGCUAAUCCUGGUCGGACAUCAGGAGGUUAGUGCAAUGGCAUAAGCCAGCUUGACUGCGAGCGUGACGGCGCGAGCAGGUGCGAAAGCAGGUCAUAGUGAUCCGGUGGUUCUGAAUGGAAGGGCCAUCGCUCAACGGAUAAAAGGUACUCCGGGGAUAACAGGCUGAUACCGCCCAAGAGUUCAUAUCGACGGCGGUGUUUGGCACCUCGAUGUCGGCUCAUCACAUCCUGGGGCUGAAGUAGGUCCCAAGGGUAUGGCUGUUCGCCAUUUAAAGUGGUACGCGAGCUGGGUUUAGAACGUCGUGAGACAGUUCGGUCCCUAUCUGCCGUGGGCGCUGGAGAACUGAGGGGGGCUGCUCCUAGUACGAGAGGACCGGAGUGGACGCAUCACUGGUGUUCGGGUUGUCAUGCCAAUGGCAUUGCCCGGUAGCUAAAUGCGGAAGAGAUAAGUGCUGAAAGCAUCUAAGCACGAAACUUGCCCCGAGAUGAGUUCUCCCUGACUCCUUGAGAGUCCUGAAGGAACGUUGAAGACGACGACGUUGAUAGGCCGGGUGUGUAAGCGCAGCGAUGCGUUGAGCUAACCGGUACUAAUGAACCGUGAGGCUUAACCUU